CCUACGGGUGGCUGCAGUCGAGAAUCAUUCACAAUGGGGGAAACCCUGAUGGUGCGACGUCGCGUGGGGGAAUGAUGGCCUUUGGAUUGUAAACCUCUUUUAUGUGGGAGCAAAUUAAAAAGUGAGUACCACAAGAGGAAGAGACUGCUAACACUGUGCCAGCAGCCGCGGUAAUACAGAGGACUCAAGCGUUGUUCGGAAUCACUGGGCGUAAAGCGUGCGUAGGCUGUUUCGUAAGUCGUGUGUGAAAGGUGCGGGCUCAACCCGCGGACGGCACAUGAUACUGCGAGACUAGAGUAAUGGAGGGGGAGCCGGAAUUCUCGGUGUAGCAGUGAAAUGCGUAGAUAUCGAGAGGAACACUCGUGGCGAAGGCAGGUUCCUGGACAUUAACUGACGCUGAGGCACGAAGGCCAGGGGAGCGAAAGGGAUUAGAUACCCCUGUAGUC
RNAcentral lists this ribosomal RNA (446 nucleotides) under uncultured bacterium. RNAcentral's name for it is "partial 16S ribosomal RNA". It matches the Rfam family "Bacterial small subunit ribosomal RNA", at positions 338 to 795 of the family's 1533-position model. The record is from RNAcentral.